This 26-nucleotide non-coding RNA is filed under the name Macaca fascicularis (crab-eating macaque). The record is from RNAcentral. Lineage: Eukaryota; Metazoa; Chordata; Mammalia; Primates; Cercopithecidae. RNAcentral also lists the same sequence under 1 other name.
UAGCAUGGAAUGACUCAACUUCAGCU